GAUUUCUGUACACUCCUGGACUUCAUCUCAUAUUUAUACAGGUCUCAGAAGAAUUUAUGCAAAACCAAGAUGACUUUCACUUCCUAUUUAAACACUCAUUAUCCUUCUUCAGGCUACCUCAAGGUGCAAAGUCAUCCCUCUAAAUUUCUCCACAAUGACACCCUACUUUUUGAGUCUCAUUAUGCUGGCUGCCUUCUCCAAAGGAGGCCUCUCCCAGGUAGUCCUGACCCAGUCAGAUCCAGUGCUGAAGAAACCCGGAGAAGCCCAUAAACUGACUUGCGCUGUCACUGGAUUCGAUGUUAACAACUACAAUAUGUAUUGGAUCAGACAGAAACCUGACCAAGGACUGGAAUGGAUUGUUUACUAUUAUUCAUCUAGUAGCAAUGCUUAUUCACCAACAAUCCAAGGACGAUUUACUGCCUCCAAAGACAGUUCCAACUUCUAUCUGCAAAUGAACAACCUAAAAGCUGAGGACACGGCUGUCUAUUACUGUGCAAGAGACACAGUGAAAUAG
Non-coding RNA from Crotalus tigris (Tiger rattlesnake), 514 nucleotides. The record is from the annotation of a RefSeq genome assembly. NCBI's taxonomy places the organism in Eukaryota, Metazoa, Chordata, Lepidosauria, Squamata, Viperidae.